Molecule: ribosomal RNA, 468 nt
Filed under: uncultured bacterium
Lineage: Bacteria
Description: partial 16S ribosomal RNA
Rfam family: Bacterial small subunit ribosomal RNA
Source: RNAcentral
GACGAACGCUGGCGGCGUGCUUAACACAUGCAAGUCGAACGGAGAGGCCCUGCUUUUGUGGGGUGCUCGAGUGGCGAACGGGUGAGUAACACGUGAGUAACCUGCCCUUGACUUUGGGAUAACUUCAGGAAACUGGGGCUAAUACCGGAUAGGAGCUCCUGCUGCAUGGUGGGGGUUGGAAAGUUUCGGCGGUUGGGGAUGGACUCGCGGCUUAUCAGCUUGUUGGUGGGGUAGUGGCUUACCAAGGCUUUGACGGGUAGCCGGCCUGAGAGGGUGACCGGCCACAUUGGGACUGAGAUACGGCCCAGACUCCUACGGGAGGCAGCAGUGGGGAAUAUUGCACAAUGGGCGGAAGCCUGAUGCAGCAACGCCGCGUGCGGGAUGACGGCCUUCGGGUUGUAAACGGCUUUCGCCUGUGACGAAGCGUGAGUGACGGUAAUGGGUAAAGAAGCACCGGCUAACUACGUG